GUGAAGCUGGAUUCGCUAGUAAUCGCGCAUCAGCCAUGGCGCGGUGAAUACGUUCCCGGGCCUUGUACACACCGCCCGUCAAGCCAUGGAAGCCGGGGGGUGCCUGAAGUGUGCAGCCGCAAGGAGCGCCCUAAGGUAAAACCGGUGACUGGGGCUAAGUCGUAACAAGGUAUC
RNAcentral lists this ribosomal RNA (174 nucleotides) under uncultured bacterium. RNAcentral's name for it is "partial 16S ribosomal RNA". It matches the Rfam family "Bacterial small subunit ribosomal RNA", at positions 1320 to 1500 of the family's 1533-position model. The record is from RNAcentral.